AUUGAACGCUGGCGGCAGGCCUAACACAUGCAAGUCGAACGGCAGCGGGGGAUAGCUUGCUAUCCUGCCGGCGAGUGGCGGACGGGUGAGUAAUGCAUGGGGAGCUGCCCAGUCGAGGGGGAUAACAACUGGAAACGGUUGCUAAUACCGCAUACGCCCUUUGGGGGAAAGGUGGGGAACUUCGGUCCUACCGCGAUUGGAUGCGCCCAUGUGGGAUUAGCUAGUUGGUGAGGUAACGGCUCACCAAGGCGGCGAUCUCUAGCUGGUCUGAGGGGAUGACCCGCCACACUGGAACUGAGACACGGUCCAGACUCCUACGGGAGGCAGCAGUGGGGAAUAUUGCACAAUGGGGGAAACCCUGAUGCAGCCAUGCCGCGUGUGUGAAGAAGGCCUUCGGGUUGUAAAGCACUUUCAGUCAGGAGGAAGGGGUGAUGGCUAAUAUCCAUCAUCAUUGACGUUACUGACAGAAGAAGCACCGGCUAACUCCGUGCCAGCCGCCGCAGUAA
Molecule: ribosomal RNA, 506 nt
Filed under: uncultured bacterium
Lineage: Bacteria
Description: partial 16S ribosomal RNA
Rfam family: Bacterial small subunit ribosomal RNA
Source: RNAcentral